CUCUUAGAUGUUCUGGGUCGCACACGCGCUACACUGAAGGAGGCAGCGUGUACUCCUGGAUCGAAAGAUUUGGGUAACCCGCGAAUCUCCUUCGUGCUAGGGAUUGAGGUUUGCAAUUAUCCUUCAUGAACGAGGAAUUCCCAGUAAGUGCAAGUCAUAAGCUUGCGCUGACUACGUCCCUGCCCUUUGUACACACCGCCCGUCGCUACUACCGAUUGAAUGAUUUAGUGAGGACUUCGGACUGGGACCGAUGCGGCUUUCGGGCUGCGUCGGUAUUCUGGAAAGAUGUCCAAACUGUAUCAUUUAGAGGAAGUAAAAGUCGUAACA
This 327-nucleotide ribosomal RNA is filed under the name uncultured eukaryote. RNAcentral describes it as "partial 18S ribosomal RNA". It matches the Rfam family "Eukaryotic small subunit ribosomal RNA", at positions 1470 to 1796 of the family's 1831-position model. The record is from RNAcentral.